GAGCAAUGACGUCAAAUUAAAAAAUGGCGUAAGUUGCCUUGAAGGUUGGCAAUAACGAAUAGCGAUUCUCCGUGCCUAUCAAGUUUUCUCAAUGUUGAUCGUGGCCUCGAACAAGUCGCUACAUU
This 125-nucleotide small nucleolar RNA is filed under the name Capsella rubella. Lineage: Eukaryota; Viridiplantae; Streptophyta; Magnoliopsida; Brassicales; Brassicaceae. The record is from RNAcentral.